Molecule: ribosomal RNA, 253 nt
Filed under: uncultured bacterium
Lineage: Bacteria
Description: partial 16S ribosomal RNA
Rfam family: Bacterial small subunit ribosomal RNA
Source: RNAcentral
UACGUAGGGUGCAAGCGUUGUCCGGAUUUAUUGGGCGUAAAGAGCGUGUAGGCGGCCAGAUAGGUCAGCUGUGAAAACUCGAGGCUCAACCUCGAGACGUCGGUUGAAACCAUCUGGCUAGAGUCCGGGAGAGGAGAGUGGAAUUCCUGGUGUAGCGGUGAAAUGCGCAGAUAUCAGGAAGAACACCCGUGGCGAAAGCGGCUCUCUGGAACGGUACUGACGCUGAGACGCGAAAGCGUGGGGAGCGAACAGG